Molecule: unclassified non-coding RNA, 396 nt
Filed under: soil metagenome
Description: partial contains 5.8S ribosomal RNA, internal transcribed spacer 2, and large subunit ribosomal RNA
Rfam family: 5.8S ribosomal RNA (bases 1-122)
Source: RNAcentral
GAUGAAGAACGUAGCGAAAUGCGAUACUUGGUGUGAAUUGCAGAAUCCCGUGAACCAUUGAGUCUUUGAACGCAAGUUGCGCCCGAAGCCAUUAGGCCGAGGGCACGCCUGCCUGGGUGUCACACACCGUUACCCUCGCGCCAACGUCCAUCGUUGGCCGCGGCGCGGGGCGUGCGCUGACCUCCCGCGAGCGGGGUCUCGUGGUUGGUUGAAAAUCGAGUUCGCGGUCGAGGGUGCCGUGAUGAAAUGGUGGAUGGGCGACGCCCGAGGCCAAUCACGCGCGACUCUGCCCGGCUCGGACUCCUGGACCCCUUCGGCGUCUCAGGACGCUCUUUGGCGAGACCUCAGGUCAGGCGGGGCUACCCGCUGAGUUUAAGCAUAUCAAUAAGCGGAGGA